RNAcentral lists this long non-coding RNA (231 nucleotides) under Hordeum vulgare. RNAcentral's name for it is "long non-coding RNA (HVUL_LNC004635)". The record is from RNAcentral. Lineage: Eukaryota; Viridiplantae; Streptophyta; Magnoliopsida; Poales; Poaceae.
CCUCUAAUAGGUGGUAAUCCCGGUGGCACGUCUUGUGAAAAGACGUCAGCGAACUCCUGCAAAAUGUUAAUGACAGCAGGAGGCAAAGAGGAUGGCAUGUCCUCAAAUGAAAAUAAUACCUCUUUGCAGACGAAAGCAUAGCAAACAGAUGUAGUGAUAUCCAAAUCAGUAAUAUCGGAUUUAGUGGCAAGUAAACAACCACUUUUCAGUUUUAUUUCAGAGGCAACACUA